UUGAGCCGUAUGCGGUGAAAGUCGCACGUACGGUUCUUAGAAGAGUCGGAGCGAGUAAUCGCUCCCUCUUAUUCGGCAAAAUACGGCUUCAAG
Molecule: non-coding RNA, 93 nt
Filed under: Candidatus Methanoperedens nitratireducens
Lineage: Archaea; Methanobacteriati; Methanobacteriota; Methanomicrobia; Methanosarcinales; Candidatus Methanoperedentaceae
Source: RNAcentral